Non-coding RNA from Peromyscus maniculatus bairdii (prairie deer mouse), 1170 nucleotides. The record is from RefSeq and is a predicted model, not a curated record. NCBI's taxonomy places the organism in Eukaryota, Metazoa, Chordata, Mammalia, Rodentia, Cricetidae.
CGUUUCUCCCUCCACCACCCCCAAUGCCAGGGUCAGGAUUGGGACCAGGAAAGGGUUUCAGACAAAAUAAGAAAGAAGGAAAGCGCUCACAUACAAAUUAAACAGUUCAGCUCUCUGCCAAGGAGAUGGUAUGUUGGUGUCCCUGGUCGAUAUGAACAGACAUCUCAUCGUCAUCUUGGGAACUCUUGGCUGAGUGAUGUCAUCACCAGUGUUUUCCCGUUCUGGGUCCGGGCCUAACUCACCAGUAGGGUGUGUUUAGAGCACGAUCACUUUGAGGAAGAGAAUGGUGGAACUGUGAGCACAUGGAAGUCAGUCUGCCAAAACUGUGACUGAGCACACUUGUACAACUGUAACUCCCUUAGUGUGUGAAGAUUUUUAUUCAUGCCUUUACAAACAAAUAAAGUCCUUGUUUGAAAUAUUUUCCUUUGGGAUACAUACAGUGAAGUUGAGUCUGUUUAAAGAUACAGGAAGAAAACUACUCAGACUUAUUACCCGGGUAAAGGGUAAUUUCUGAAGGUGGGACAAAUUGACAAUUUAAGGUUGGGAAACAAAAGCUAGUUCAUGUCACAGGGGCUACACUGGCUAGCCAGGAACCAAGGUGAGUUCUGGGUUGUAUGUGUGUGUGUGUUUCCCAUGGCUCAAAUCUGGAGGUCGGAGAACGGCGUGUGUGUGUGUGUGUGUGUGUGUGUGUGUGUGUGUGUGUGUGUGUGUGUGUGUGUGUCCCCGUCCCAUGGCUCACAUCUGGAGAUCAGAGAACGGCUUGUGAAGUCUUUUCUCUCCUUCCUACUGUGUAGGUUCUAAGGAUUGAAUCCAGGUUGUUGGUUGGCAGGUGCCUUUACCUGCUGAGCCGUCUCACCAGCCCUGUUCUUCACUUUUUUGAAAGAGUCUUGUUGUGCAGCCUGAGUUUCCUGCAGUUUACAGUCCUCUUGACUCUGCCCCCAGAUGCUGACAUCACAGACAGGUGACUGCUGUGAAGGGGUCAUUUGACCAAAUGGUCUCGAAGGACAAGUUGAGAAAUGCUGUUCUGUAGAAAAACAUGUUUUUGCCGAAUGCAGCUUGUUUUUAUAAUUGUCUACAGCUUGAACACAAGAGAACUUUACUUAGGUGACCUCCCUUAACUCCCCAAGUAUAAAUUGUCUGAUGCUCUGAAUAAAGCUGGCUAUUGCAUGA